Molecule: ribosomal RNA, 500 nt
Filed under: uncultured bacterium
Lineage: Bacteria
Description: partial 16S ribosomal RNA
Rfam family: Bacterial small subunit ribosomal RNA
Source: RNAcentral
AUUGAACGCUGGCGGCAGGCCUAACACAUGCAAGUCGAGCGGUUGACGGGAGCUUGCCCCCUGAUUCAGCGGCGGACGGGUGAGUAAUGCCUAGGAAUCUGCCUAUUAGUGGGGGACAACGUUUCGAAAGGAACGCUAAUACCGCAUACGUCCUACGAGAGAAAGCAGGGGACCUUCGGGCCUUGCGCUAAUAGAUGAGCCUAGGUCGGAUUAGCUUGUUGGUGAGGUAAUGGCUCACCAAGGCGACGAUCCGUAACUGGUCUGAGAGGAUGAUCAGUCACACUGGAACUGAGACACGGUCCAGACUCCUACGGGAGGCAGCAGUGGGGAAUAUUGGACAAUGGGCGACAGCCUGAUCCAGCCAUGCCGCGUGUGUGAAGAAGGUCUUCGGAUUGUAAAGCACUUUAAGUUGGGAGGAAGGGUUGUAGAUUAAUACUCUGCAAUUUUGACGUUACCGACAGAAUAAGCACCGGCUAACUCUGUGCCAGCCGCCGCCGUAA